RNAcentral lists this long non-coding RNA (908 nucleotides) under Homo sapiens (human). RNAcentral's name for it is "non-protein coding lnc-SH2D7-11:1". Lineage: Eukaryota; Metazoa; Chordata; Mammalia; Primates; Hominidae. The record is from RNAcentral.
GAUGAACCCGAGGGCCGUGGAGCACCCCACCUGCCCCCGAGACCCAGCCCCACGCUGCCCCCUUUGUCCUGUCGGCAGCACCCACUCCUCUCCUAGUCCCGACGCGGCGGAGCUGUGGACAGGAGGGAUAGUGGCCUGGGAGCCAGCUCUGGAGGGUGGUCUGGGGCCUGUGGACAGUGAACUGUGGCCCACUGUUGGGGUGGCUUCUCUCCUUCCUCCUCCCAUAGCCCCUCUGCCAGAGAUGAAGGUCAGGGACAGUUCCCUGGAGCCGGGGACUCCCUCCUUCCCAACCCCAGGACCAGGCUCAUGGGACCUGCAGACUGUGGCAGUGUGGGGGACCUUCCUCCCCACAACCCUGACUGGCCUCGGGCACAUGCCUGAGCCUGCCCUGAACCCAGGACCCAAGGGUCAGCCUGAGUCCCUCAGCCCUGAGGUGCCCCUGAGCUCUAGGCUGCUGUCCACACCAGCUUGGGACAGCCCCGCCAACAGCCACAGAGCCCCUGAGACCCAGCCACUGCCUCCCAGCCUGGCUGAAGCGGGGCCCCCCGCGGACCCGUUGGUUGUCAGGAACGCCAGCUGGCAAGCGGGAAACUGGAGCGAGUGCUCUACCACCUGCGGCCUGGGUGUGGUCUGGAGGCCGGUGCGCUGUAGCUCUGGCCGGGAUGAGGACUGUACCCCCGCUGGCCGGCCCCAGCCUGCCCGCCACUGCCACCUGCAGCCCUGUGCCACCUGGCACUCAGGCAACUGGAGUAAGGGUCACACCCGUGGGCCUGCACGUGGGUGUCUUGGUCCCCAGUGCUCGCGCAGCUGCGGUGGAGGUUCCUCAGUGCAGGACGUGCAGUGUGUGGAUACACGGGACCUCUGGACACUGCAGCCCUUCCAUUGUCAGCCCGGGCCUGCCAAACCGC